GUAGGUGGCAAGCGUUGUCCGGAAUUAUUGGGCGUAAAGCGCGCGCAGGCGGUCCUUUAAGUCUGAUGUGAAAGCCCACGGGCUCAACCGUGGAGGGUCAUUGGAAACUGGGGGACUUGAGUACAGAAGAGGAAAGCGGAAUUCCACGUGUAGCGGUGAAAUGCGUAGAGAUGUGGAGGAACACCAGUGGCGAAGGCGGCUUUCUGGUCUGUAACUGACGCUGAGGCGCGAAAGCGUGGGGAGCAAACAGGAUUAGAUACCCUGGUAGUCCACGCCGUAAACGAUGAGUGCUAAGUGUUAGGGGUUUCCGCCCCUUAGUGCUGCAGCUAACGCAUUAAGCACUCCGCCUGGGGAGUACGGCCGCAAAGGCUGA
RNAcentral lists this ribosomal RNA (373 nucleotides) under uncultured organism. Its description in RNAcentral is "partial 16S ribosomal RNA". It matches the Rfam family "Bacterial small subunit ribosomal RNA", at positions 527 to 897 of the family's 1533-position model. The record is from RNAcentral.